Molecule: unclassified non-coding RNA, 1387 nt
Filed under: Leishmania donovani
Lineage: Eukaryota; Euglenozoa; Kinetoplastea; Trypanosomatida; Trypanosomatidae
Description: gene:unknown
Source: RNAcentral
CCAGGCAUCGAGCCCCCCUCCCUCCCCUCCUCCGAGCUCCGCACGCGCACACACCACCUCCCUCAUGCGCCGCGGUCGCGUGCGCUUCAACGCAGCACUCCCCGCCGGGCUGCGGUGGGGCUCUCCGGACGAGGAAUAGCGAGCGGCACGCAUGAGCCAACGCUCUCGUUUUGCGAAGCUUCCUUACCCAUCUGCGCACGGAUGGUGGAAUUCAGCCAGCCAUCAAAUAUCAGGAGCACGACCGCAAUGUUUUAUAAUUUUCAUGCAUCCAUAGGUGCAGCGGCAAGGGGCUGCGACCCCCUCGCUUGCCGCCACCUCGCUGAGUGCGGAGAGCAGCGGAGCUGGGACUCUACCUGCUGCGAAGACAACUCCAUCAUCGACGGCACGUCAAAGAAGUGUCAUUGUUGUUACGGGCUCGCUCUCCCGCCCUCAGGGCGGUCGACGCGGGCCCCAAAAUUGUGGAAGAGGACAUAUCGCGAGGUAUCUGGGCACAAGUGCUGGCGCUACUGUGGGCCCGCCGCGUGCGCCUCACAGUUCAGAUUGUCUCUGGUUACUGCGGAUUUUUAACACACGGAGAAGCUCCACGAGCAUGCAAAAUGGGCGAUGCCAGAGGCGCCGACGCCAACUGCAUGAAUUUCGGGACUGGCCACCAAUAUCAGAAGCCGCACUGGCAUCCGCCUGUUGCCCGGAAGACGGACGCCGCCGCUUCCGCCCUCGAGUAAGGGCCCUGGAUGCGGCCCGCUGCGAUUAAGGCGCGCUGCCCACCGCCGGGGCCGUCUGUCGGAUGCUGAUCGUGCAGCACGCAUGCAGGGGGGAGGAACGGGCAAGGACACGAAGCGCUCGCUAGGCGCACGGCCCCGAUUCGACGGCAGGACGGUUUUGCCCUCGCAGGACCGGGACGCAGACCUGGGGGGGGGUGCAGCGGAGGCGGGUGAGCAGUGGCUGCAUCUGCGUCUGUGUUGCUGACAUGUGUUCGUGGGCGGGAUCGGGGCAUACACGUUGGAGAAAUACAAAAAAAAGGAAGGGCCUUCCCAGCUUGUUUUUGUUCUCUCACGCUGUGUCGGCCUUGAACGUUUGCUAGUGUUGCUUCCGUGUGUGUGUGCGUGCGCGUACCGGUCUGCCUACGCGGGACCGCAGGGUGCCCUGUUGGGAAGAGCAAGAAAAAAAAACAGGAGAAAAGCUGGCCAUCCACGUCUGUGUUUCUACGCGGCCAUGUCUCUUGUGUCGGCGGCUAACACGACGACAUGCAGUGGCGCGCAGAGGGGAUGCAAGGAAAAGGGGCACAGCAGGUUGGUGCGCUUCAUGACAUUCCACAUUCUUCCGCUUCAGUGGCGUUGCACAAGGUUUCAAUGCGCGUACAAAUAUAUAGAAGCAUGUAUACGCAAAG